This 231-nucleotide ribosomal RNA is filed under the name Russula sanguinea. RNAcentral describes it as "partial 28S ribosomal RNA". It matches the Rfam family "Eukaryotic large subunit ribosomal RNA", at positions 1 to 227 of the family's 3401-position model. Lineage: Eukaryota; Fungi; Basidiomycota; Agaricomycetes; Russulales; Russulaceae. The record is from RNAcentral.
UUGACCUCAAAUCGGGUGAGACUACCCGCUGAACUUAAGCAUAUCAAUAAGCGGAGGAAAAGAAACUAACAAGGAUUCCCCUAGUAACUGCGAGUGAAGCGGGAAAAGCUCAAAUUUAAAAUCUGGUGGUCUUUGGCCAUCCGAGUUGUAAUUUAGAGAAGCGUCUUCCGCGCUGGACCGUGCACAAGUCUCCUGGAAUGGAGCGUCGUAGAGGGUGAGAAUCCCGUCUUU